AAGCUAUGAUGAGGCCAAUGUCUUUAUAGACUCUUGAAACUAUCCCAUGCUUCAAUAAUGACUCUCCAUAUUCCUGAGCAAAAUUUGUAAUGCAAUUCCUCAUAU
Molecule: small nucleolar RNA, 105 nt
Organism: Zingiber officinale
Lineage: Eukaryota; Viridiplantae; Streptophyta; Magnoliopsida; Zingiberales; Zingiberaceae
Source: RefSeq, a predicted model, not a curated record